Molecule: long non-coding RNA, 766 nt
Filed under: Monodelphis domestica (gray short-tailed opossum)
Lineage: Eukaryota; Metazoa; Chordata; Mammalia; Didelphimorphia; Didelphidae
Description: lncRNA (ENSMODG00000036659.1)
Source: RNAcentral
ACAUAUCCUUUAUUUCCGUCUCUUUUCCCUGACCACUAGAUCCUUCUCCACUGCGACUUAUGAAUUGCCAAGGUUCCUUUCAUGAGACUUGGGUUCCAUCUGACACCAUCCUAAUGAGGAACAGUUGGUAAAGUGCAGUUUGAGAUGCCAUUUGGAAACAGGCCCACUCUCAGUCCUCAUCUAGAAAGAGAGAGAAAGAAGUCCAGGGCAUCAGAUGACUACCCUGGAUGGGAUACAGGGAUAGCAGGACUGCUCCUGCCUCUGACUCCAUCCCAAAGGUCUUUGGAACAUCCCCUGGGCUCUCUCUCGGAUCAUUUCCUCUUCUGAAAUGUGCCCAUCUAGGCUGAUUGGGAACUCCCAGCUGAAAACCCCUAAUGAACGACAAAGAUUUAAUGGCAUAAAUUUGUUCAUCAGAAAUCAAUUUCCAGGAAAUGUGUCCUUAAGCAUCUCCUCAAUGUCCCAACACUUUUAUAUACUGGGUUUCCAUAGGCAUGGACAUAAAGAGUCCCUGAUCUCUAUAAAGUUACAGUCGGGAAGAAUUAGGGACAGAGGCCACAACUUCCUCCACAGAAGGUUCUUAGCAUCAUCAGGAAGAAUUCAAACACAAAGAAUGGGUCUUCUCAACAUGGAAGGAGCUUGCUCUAAGUAAAACCCAUCCUGGCCUACACGAACCUGAUGAUUUCUGGUUUUCUCUCAUUUUUUUCAAUGGGCCUAAGUGUUGACAGUGGAAGAUGACCCAGAAGUGGCAGGUGUCACACAGAUGGGA